RNAcentral lists this ribosomal RNA (544 nucleotides) under Yersinia enterocolitica. RNAcentral describes it as "partial 23S ribosomal RNA". It matches the Rfam family "Bacterial large subunit ribosomal RNA", at positions 2259 to 2802 of the family's 2925-position model. Lineage: Bacteria; Pseudomonadati; Pseudomonadota; Gammaproteobacteria; Enterobacterales; Yersiniaceae. The record is from RNAcentral.
UGGUGGGUAGUUUGACUGGGGCGGUCUCCUCCCAAAGAGUAACGGAGGAGCACGAAGGUUAGCUAAUCACGGUCGGACAUCGUGAGGUUAGUGCAAAGGCAUAAGCUAGCUUGACUGCGAGAGUGACGGCUCGAGCAGGUACGAAAGUAGGUCUUAGUGAUCCGGUGGUUCUGAAUGGAAGGGCCAUCGCUCAACGGAUAAAAGGUACUCCGGGGAUAACAGGCUGAUACCGCCCAAGAGUUCAUAUCGACGGCGGUGUUUGGCACCUCGAUGUCGGCUCAUCACAUCCUGGGGCUGAAGUAGGUCCCAAGGGUAUGGCUGUUCGCCAUUUAAAGUGGUACGCGAGCUGGGUUUAGAACGUCGUGAGACAGUUCGGUCCCUAUCUGCCGUGGGCGUUGGAAGAUUGAGAGGGGCUGCUCCUAGUACGAGAGGACCGGAGUGGACGAAUCACUGGUGUUCGGGUUGUCAUGCCAAUGGCAUUGCCCGGUAGCUAAAUUCGGAAGAGAUAACCGCUGAAAGCAUCUAAGCGGGAAACUUGCCUCGA